RNAcentral lists this ribosomal RNA (253 nucleotides) under uncultured bacterium. RNAcentral's name for it is "partial 16S ribosomal RNA". It matches the Rfam family "Bacterial small subunit ribosomal RNA", at positions 524 to 776 of the family's 1533-position model. The record is from RNAcentral.
GACGUAGGGUGCAAGCGUUGUCCGGAUUUAUUGGGCGUAAAGAGCUCGUAGGCGGCUUGUUGCGUCGACUGUGAAAACCCGCGGCUUAACCGCGGGCUUGCAGUUGAUACGGGCAGGCUAGAGUUCGGUAGGGGAGACUGGAAUUCCUGGUGUAGCGGUGAAAUGCGCAGAUAUCUGGAGGAACACCGGUGGCGAAGGCGGCAUCCUGGACCGACAUUGACGCUGAGGCGCGAAAGCCAGGGGAGCAAACAGG